This 256-nucleotide long non-coding RNA is filed under the name Olea europaea (common olive). RNAcentral describes it as "long non-coding RNA (OEUR_LNC007010)". Lineage: Eukaryota; Viridiplantae; Streptophyta; Magnoliopsida; Lamiales; Oleaceae. The record is from RNAcentral.
GAUGUGCAACGAAAGGAAAAUUAGGGAAAUUUUGAUCUGGGUUUGUGCUCAAGCACAAUGGAUUUAGGGAUUAUGCACAAAAAGAGAAAUGUAGAACAUUAUAGAUCUAGGAUUUCAACGUAGAAGAAGAUAAAAAAAAUGCCAAAAGGAAGACGAAACAUUUUUGUGGAUGAGAUGAGAUAACACGUAUUCACCGGAAAAAUGGGCAAAGUAGAUGGGCACGCCUUCCAAAAUCCAUCUUUUUUUAGUAGUGAAG